Non-coding RNA from Zea mays, 81 nucleotides. The record is from Rfam. Lineage: Eukaryota; Viridiplantae; Streptophyta; Magnoliopsida; Poales; Poaceae.
UUUGCAUGUGAUGACUUGCAAGAUGAUGUGUACAUUGUCUGACACAUCUGUAUGAUAAUAAUUUCAAGAGCUGAGGCUUCA